Molecule: ribosomal RNA, 495 nt
Filed under: uncultured bacterium
Lineage: Bacteria
Description: partial 16S ribosomal RNA
Rfam family: Bacterial small subunit ribosomal RNA
Source: RNAcentral
GACGAACGCUGGCGGCGUGCCUAAUACAUGCAAGUAGAACGCUGAAGGAGGAGCUUGCUCUUCUGGAUGAGUUGCGAACGGGUGAGUAACGCGUAGGUAACCUGCCUGGUAGCGGGGGAUAACUAUUGGAAACGAUAGCUAAUACCGCAUAAGAGUAGAUGUUGCAUGACAUUUGCUUAAAAGGUGCAAUUGCAUCACUACCAGAUGGACCUGCGUUGUAUUAGCUAGUUGGUGGGGUAACGGCUCACCAAGGCGACGAUACAUAGCCGACCUGAGAGGGUGAUCGGCCACACUGGGACUGAGACACGGCCCAGACUCCUACGGGAGGCAGCAGGAGGGAAUCUUCGGCAAUAGACGGAAGGCUGACCGAGCAACGCCGCGGGAGUGAAGAAGGGUGUCGGAUCGUAAAGAUCGGUUGUAAGAGAAGAACGAGUGUGGGAGUGGAAAGUUCACACUGUGACGGUAGCUUACCAGAAAGGGACGGCUAACUACGUG